GACGAACGCUGGCGGCGUGCUUAACACAUGCAAGUCGAACGGAAAGGCUCCAGCUUGCUGGAGUACUCGAGUGGCGAACGGGUGAGUAACACGUGGGUAAUCUGCCCUGCACUCUGGGAUAGGCCUGGGAAACUGGGUCUAAUACUGGAUAUGACCUUUCUCCUUAUGGGGUUUGGUGGAAAGUUUUUCGGUGUAGGAUGAGCCCGCGGCCUAUCAGCUUGUUGGUGGGGUGAUGGCCUACCAAGGCGACGACGGGUAGCCGGCCUGAGAGGGUGAUCGGCCACAUUGGGACUGAGAUACGGCCCAGACUCCUACGGGAGGCAGCAGUGGGGAAUAUUGCACAAUGGGCGGAAGCCUGAUGCAGCGACGCCGCGUGAGGGAUGACGGCCUUCGGGUUGUAAACCUCUUUCAGCAGGGACGAAGCGUAAGUGACGGUACCUGCAGAAGAAGCACCGGCUAACUAUGUG
Molecule: ribosomal RNA, 467 nt
Filed under: uncultured bacterium
Lineage: Bacteria
Description: partial 16S ribosomal RNA
Rfam family: Bacterial small subunit ribosomal RNA
Source: RNAcentral